CCAUCGUCUGAUCACCCGCACUAUUUUUGACGUAAAUUCGUGGCCACGUCAUCGGUCGUGAACUGUUCGCAAGGACGAGGGAUCGGCGCGAACCUUUUUCUCUCGCGGUGAGACAGCCCACUUCACUAUCCAUUUCUAGACUAGUCCACUCUUUUUCUCUUCCAUCCCGACCACACAAAUCGAUUCCGCCCCAACCAGAUCGCCGGCGAAGGUGUGUGCGGCGGCCAGCCCGUGGAUCUCGGCGGCAUGCCGGUAGUUCGAGAAAGCGGAGCCGCUCGAGGAUGCUGGGCACGGAAGGGGGAGGAGCAGAGCCGUCUCCGACGCGGCGUGUCUAAGAGGCGGGCGCAGAGGGGGAUAGCGGCGGCGGUCGCCGGCGAGGGUGUUGCGGCAGCCUGCCCACGGAUCUCGGCGAUGGCGCCAGCUCGAGAAAGUCGCGGCGCUCGAGGAUGCGUGGCGCGGAGGGAGAGAGCAGCAGCGGAUCUGACGCCGCCGCCGUCCGCCGCCGCGGCGCUUCAGCGUCGGCAUGUGGUGGAGGUCAACCAGAAGGUGGACGACGCCCUGCCGCUUGCAGCCGAGCUGCUCGUCGACGUGGACGCCGUCUUCUUUCCUGCGAUGUGCCGAAGGGGAACUGCUCGCCGGGAGUCACCCAUAGCCAGGUAUUCCGUUCACCUUGCGGCGGUGGCUUGGUCAAAACCUUUUCGCGGCUUUGCCACUCUCUCCGGCCGGAUCUUGAUCUUGAUGCACAACCAGGAGGUGAACUAGGAUUUCUGUUUCUUUGCACAGAUUCCACAGCAUCUUGAUCGAUUCACUAGCUAAGCAAAAAGGCUACUCGUUCUUGUCGGCAAGUGCCCAGAAUGGGUAGAUGCAUUUUGAUAUGCAAUUUUUUAGUGUCCAUCCUUAGUUGUCAUUUCCACCCUAGUAUUUGUUCAUGCUAAAAAUAACACAUGGCAAAUUAUAUCAGUACUUAUUUCUAUAGCUAUUUCGGCAUUUUUUGUAUGGUUUAUGAUCGCAAGCGUCCUGUCCAUAUGUUUUUUUUGUAGUUUCAAGUAUACUCAAUAAAUUCUUGAUUAUUAGCACAACAAUAUGUCCCAUGGCAUUUCGCGUACAUUUUUGCCCCCGGGAGAACACACCUUGGAAAGUGCUCAUGCUGACUAGUGCUCAUGUCACAUGGCAAAUUCUUAUUGGAACUAUGCAAUGCUCACAUGGCAAAUGUUUUAAGAUUUCUUUUUAAUAAUGUCACAUGGAAAUGUCAGGAUAAUUUUUUCCAAAAUUAUGGCAACUUCCAUAAAUGUUUCUACUUUUUUGUCGCAUGGCAAAUUUAGACAAUUGUUAUCUUCAUAAAUCAUGGCAACUUUACAAAGAUAACAAUAUAGCUUUUUUCCAUAUCUUUUGCAAAUCAUGAUAAUAGUCACAUUGACUACUUUUUUGUCACAUGGCAACUUUUGCCAUGGCAAUUUUUUCCGUAGCACGACAAAGUUUUUUUUGUAUAAUCACACAAUAAUUGUAUGAUUUUUGUAUCUUCGUGACAUGGCAAUUUUUACGCUGUAGCAUUGAUUUUAUUGCCAUGGCAAAUUUACUUUUAUUGCCAAGAUGAUUGCAAUUAUUAGCAAACAGCCAUGGCAAAUUUAGUUAACGAAUGAUGGCAAAUUUAGUUAACGAAUCAUGGCAAAUUUAUUUUCGUUGAUCAUAGUAAUUUUUAUAAAUUGACCAUGGUAAAUUUAGUUCAUAGAUCAUGGCAAAUUGUAGUUUCUCACUAAUUAACCAUGGAAACUAGAAUUUUCACUUCAUCAUGGUAAGUUUAGUUAUUAACCAUGGAAAAUUUAGUUUAUAUAUCAUGGAUAAUUUUAGUUCCAUUUUCUUGUCUGUAGACCAUGGCAAAUUUUUGCGACCACAACAAUUUAUAUUUGGACAAUUUCGUACAAACCAUGGCAUUUUUUCUUUGUAGCACGACAACUUUUUUCUAUGAGAAGUGUGCCUCAUACAUCAUUGCAAACUUUGAAACUUGUUUUUGUAUAAACACACAAUAAUUAUAUGUUUUUAUCCGCAUAACAUGAUUGGUUUAGGAACAUGGCAAUUUUUACUUUGUAGUAUGAGAAAUUCAUUUAUAUUGCCAUGGCAAAUUUACUUUUAUUGCCAAUAUGAUGGUAAUUAUUAGCAAACAACCAUGGCAAAUUUAGUUAACGAAUGAUAGCGAAUUUAGUUAAUGAAUCAUGGCAAAUUUUAUUCAUGAUCAUGGUAAUAAUUGACCAUGGCAAAUUUAGUACAUAGAUCAUGGCAAAUUUUAGUUUCUCAUUCAUUACCCAUGGCAAAUUUAUUUCAUUGAUCAUGGCAAUUUUCAGUUUGAUGUAUUGCCAUGGCAAAUUUUAUUUUUUAAUUGCCAAGACGAUGGGAAAUUUUAGUAAAUGACCAUGGCAAUUUAAGUUUGCGAUUCAUGGCAAAUUUCAUUAGCUAUGCAUGGAAAAAAAUCAUUAAUCAUUGUAAAUUUAGUAAUUGGCCAUGACAAUUUUGAAUUUAUAGAUCAUGGCAAAAUUUUAGGUCCAUGUCUCAUGGCAGUGCCAAAAUUAUUUACUAGUGAUAAUGUUUCACUUUUUUCAACACAUGUUAAUGCAAGGGGUAAUAUGCAUCACGGAAAAUUUCAAACAAACGGAAAAUUUACACCACUUUUUGGCCACCAUUUGGCAAACUUAUAGAUUUACUUCUGGUAUCAAUGCGUGUUUUUAUGACCAUGGCAAUUUUUCUUUCUUUUUGCAUCUUGUCAAAAUUAUUUUCUUAUGCGACUAUGGCAAAUUUAGUUUUAUGGUCACGGCAAUUUUUUCUAUGCAUCAUGGCAUUUUUUGGUGUGCAAACCAUGGCAAUUUUCUUGCGCCCAUGACAGUUUAUAUUUGAACAAAUUUCAAAAUUUCAUACAAACCAUGGCAAUUUAUUUCCUGUUGCACGACAACUUUUUCGAUUUUUGUACAUCAUGGAAGUUUUUGCUCGUUGCCAUCCAUCAUGGCGUUUUUCAUUUUAUGUAGGUACUGUGUAGUAGCUUCAACAAUUAUAAAAAUUGAUGGCAAUUUCUAGAUUUUUGUGGCAUUUUAUUGUACAGUUUUUUCUUAGUUUUUUCCGUUGGGUUUUCUUCACUGUUUUCGUGUUUUUUCUGCAUUUUUUUUUUGCAAAGGGAAUAGUUUGGGCCAGCAGGCCUAACAAAAGGCCCAGCUAACGAGGGAUUAGGUGGAUGGUUCGGGCUGUUGGAACAUGGCAACGAACUGUUCGCUGAUACUUCCCUGCCGAACCGAACGACUCGUUCGGAUCGAUCACCUCACAGCCCGAACAUUCGGGUGUUAUCGGGGUCCUAUAAAAAGGCCCGUGCUAGGCGCCGGCAGAAAUUCGCCGCGCGGAUCGUUGGUUUACAGCCUGUCCCGCCAUUGGAUUUGCAUAAGUUAUCUUCCUUCUUCGCGCAAUGCCCUUUCUUCCGCAAAACGUGGCCGCACACUCGCAAUUGACCUCUCGUUCGAGCCGCCCCACGCUCACCGCAACAAAACCCGCCCCGCCCUGGAUUCUUGCAACAUCGGCCAAGCUCGUCGGCCUCGGCGUGACGCCACUCCCGCAUCCAUGGUUACCGUUGUAGCCCAUUUCAUCGUUGUCAUCGUCUCAACAGCACGUGGUUGCAGUGACUGUGGUCGCAGCAAGCGCAAUCGGUGGUUGUAGCACCGUCCCCCUGCGGGUCUCCGUCGCACCAUCCGCUCGCCGCCGCGCAGCCUAGCAGCUCUUUGUAGCGUUUGCGGCCGCCCCUCCCUCGUAGUACUUCGCAAAAGCAUUGUUGGUAGUAGUUUCAUCGCUUCCAAUAGUGACGGUCACAGCAUCUCCCAUCUCCGGUCACAACAUCCACCAUAUACGGUUCCGUCAUCUCCGGUCGUGGGGUUCCACCAUCGCUGAUGCUGUUUCCAGCAUUGUUGCCCCGAGGUACCAACAUGGCGGCCUCGGGUCUACCAGCAUCACUGUCCUAUGGCUCCAGCAUUUGUUGAUGCUGGUUCUAGCAUACACCGCUGUCGAGCAUUGUCGACGCCAAGUCUGCAACAUACAUGGCCUAGUUUUUAGAAGACCCCCCCCCCCCCCCCCCCCGCGCCCAUGGGCCUCACCGCCACACCCGAUGACUCCGCAACACGACUGUUCUCUGAAGCACGAGGGAUAGGGAUGCUCGUUGCAGGGCACUCGUCAUAGUACCAUGGUGGAUAGCCAUAGAAGGAAGGAGGGAUCGGAGAGUUGCUUGUCGGGGAUGACGGGGACAAAGGUUGGGCCCAACCAUGGCAACAAAUCGACGGUGGUGGAGAUGCGGUACCAGGGAGGAGGGGAUGGGGAGAGGAAGAAAACACGAAGAGAUAAGGGGUGGGACCCGCAAGCAAGCAAGGCGACUGGCCGAACGCUCGACCGAUCGUCUGUAUACAAUCAUUUACAGAUUGAAAAACAACAGGACUCCGGUGCAUAUUUUUGUAGAAUUUUUAAAUAAAUGUUACAAAAUUAAAUUAUCUCUACUACUUAAAAAGAAUGUAAAGUUCCCUUUUCACCUUUCUUUUCACCACCUCUUCGUCCAACCUCAAACAAUCACCUUCAUUUACUUAUCUUUUGAACCAAUUUCACUUUAAUUUAUUUACCAAACUUCAGAUCAAAAAAUAAGGUAAAUCAUGGGCGGAAUUUGAUGAACAUUUAUUUACAGAACCAUAUAUUAUGGGCUGGUAAAUCAUAAGGUAGUGUACUAGAAUAUUUAUAUUCCGUUGUAACGCACGGGCAUUGUUUUAGUAGAAAAUAAAAUAUAAAGAGACAAGUUAUAUGAAAGCAACACCCAAUCUUCAAAAUUGGCGUAGGUUUGCCUUGCCGCCCUACGAGUUAGCCAUUGCAUCUCCUUUUUGAACUUUUUUCUGCACCUAUAAAGAUUAGGAGCAACGCCAUAAAAAAUAAAAUCAUUCCUUGUGAUCCAAAUUGCCCAAGCCGCGAGAAUGAUGAUUUCCAGCAAGAAAUAGAAAUUCGUAGGGGCACAUGCGCAUCCAUCUACAAUCAUUGAUCUGUUCCAUAAUCCGAAAAGUUGUUUGGACUGAGUAAAAAAGAGAUGGAAACUCUGGACCAUGUCAAUACGAGAAAAUAUGAAUUUUAGCUUGUACUAAUACUUUAUCCAACCGUUCUUCUACGUCCCGGUUCUGUAUGUAGGCCCCAUUUUAUUGUUCUGUACAAUUAUUUCUUUAUUCUUAAACCGGUUUCUCUUUUUUAAUCUUAUCCCAUUCAUUGUUAUUGUUCACCAUUUUCUUUCUCGGUGCAUCUGUUUCGGUAUCACCUUUCCUUACUGUUUUCUUUCGCGUCAUCUGUGUUCUUUAUUCCAAUCAUUUUAUCUUGUUGUUUCUCAAUUCGUCUUACUUCUGUUAAAUUAUCUUUCUCUUCCCGUUUUCAAUUCAUUAGUUCCUUCCUGACCCGUCUCAUAGCAAGUUCAUGUCAUCCUUCUUCACAGCACAAAUUUAUACACCCUUUAUGCAAUGCAAUUAUAUUCGUACGUGACAUUAUGCCAUCUUGGACAUACUACUCCUUUCAUUAAGAUUUUCUCAUUACAAAUAACAUAAAAAAAUUCAUUAUUUUUCAAGUGCAAUGAUUCUUGUGUCAUUUUAUUUUAUAGUUACUCGUAACCUUGUAGAUCUUGUUCUGUCAAGUUAUGUUCUACGAAACUUGCCUUCUGUUUUUGUUCAAUGAACUUACAUUUGUCUUUUAAGUCAUGUUCGUUCAAACUUGCCUUCUGUACAUACCAAGUUUUGCUAUCUGAAAGUUAUCACCACAGUAUCGCCUUCGUGUUUCGUAGUUUGGUACUUCAAUUUAUAUUUCUCUUUUUUCUGGCCGCACCCGGCACAUCGUUGCUCCUAAUUACGAGACAUUUAUUUCUGUGGUGUCAAGUCCACUUGCUCCACAUAUGCAUCAACUUCUUCAUCCCUACUCUUUUUCCCUUGUGUUCUUCCUUUUCAGCAUCAUUCUCUAGAUCUAGUCUGUUCUUACUCGUACCGGACAUUGCUGCCGCCGGUCGCUAGAAGUCGACGGCUCCAACCGUCGGCACCUAUGGUAGCUAAAGUUGGUGUUUGUCUGUUGUUGUCUCCACCACUCACCCUUGGCGAGAAGAAGGUGAAAGCAACACAUGAAAUUGAGGUAACUUACCAUGUAUCCUGCUUAAUAUCGUUCAAAUCAAGGUCGAACGCUUACUUUGUAUUGAAACUGUUGGUAAUUCUCUAGUGGGCAACCUGUUAUGACCUUAGAGGCUAGUGGGCAACCUGUUUCUAAAGACUAUAAUUCACCAAUAGAGCAACAUACCAUAUGUAAAAACAAUCACGUAAUAUUUCUCUGUAAGAGGACAUCUUUAUUUCACUUCAUUUUUCUCAGGUCAUUCCCUACUUUGUAAGGAACGAUUUCUUAGACAAGGCCGACAUUACAAGAUUUGGCAUAACUGAAGUUACAACUUUGCUUUAAACAAAAGAAGACUUUACUUUUGGCGUAAUGCUCAGGAAUGAACAACAACGAACCUCCUUCAUUGGGAGCAAUUGGGCCUAAUAUAUCAAAUUUUUGACAAGAAAAUGCACCUCACUUUAGCUCGCAAGCAUGAUAGUUCCAUCUCUGUCCAAAUACCUAAUGACCCCCAUGAUGAAAAGAAUUAAAAAUAGACUGCUGAGCUGCUCCACCUUGCUAUCCACUGAAGACAAGAUUACUCUGAUCAAAUCAGUUUUCUCCAGCAUGCAUGCUUAUUUCAUGUACUCCUUGGUGCUACCCAAGGCUAUGGUGAAUCAGAUUUGUGUCUACCCGAAGAAUUGUUUUAGGAGGAAAUAUGGUACCCAAGAAACAGGUUCAGCCCUAGUAGCAUGGGACACAGUCAGCAAACCUAAAUCCCAUGGAGGACUAGGUAUAUUGGAUAUCACUACCCAUAACAAGGCUCUAUUAAUGAAAUUUCUUCAUAAGUUCCUCAAAGUAGACAAUCCAUGGGUCAACAUUAUCUGGGAAACUCACUAUCAAGAUACUCUGCCUGGAGAUAAAAUGGUGGGAUCUUUCUAGUGGAAAGCUUUGCUUAAGCUACUUCCUUUAUACAAGUCAAACUAUAUGUCAAGCUGGCAAAUGGGACACAACUCUUUUUUGGUCGGAUAACUAGUCUGGACAACCACUAGAGGAAAAGUAUCCAGAACUUUUCUCAUUUGACAUCAACAGAGGUCUCUUAGAUUAUCAUUGUGUUCUAUGUUCUGAUGUUUUGGAAGAAACAUUGAUUCACCUGUUCCGGAAUCGUCCUUUUGCUCUUUCAUGCUGGGAUAUCAUCACUCCAGAGAGGACUCGAGGCAUCUCAACAUAUGAUGAAAUACUCCUCAUUGCGAAUCAUUUACCAAAGGACAUUGCUCUUGACAUCAUCAUUAUGAGUUGUUGGAGUAUUUGGUCAGUCAGAAAUGACAAAAUCUUCAGAACAACAACUCCUCAUCUAGGCACAUGGAAAUUAUAUUUGAAAGAAGGUUUAUGGGAUGCACAACUUAGGGCUAAAGAAGGCAAAGCAGAGAAGCUCAGGUCCUGGUCUGAUCAAUUUUUGUAAUAUGAUUAUCUUUAUGAUUCCCAGAACUGGUGUAGGCUGAGACUGUACUAGACUGAUUUGUAUUUUUGUAUUUUGUAACUUUUUUACUUCUUUAUAUAAUGAAAAUACCGUAGAACAAUCGUUCUACAGUCAGGGUUCAAAAAAAAAAAACUUCCCAAUGAUCCCCUCA
Long non-coding RNA from Triticum aestivum (bread wheat), 7742 nucleotides. RefSeq lists it as uncharacterized. The record is from RefSeq and is a predicted model, not a curated record. The transcript is spliced from 2 exons. NCBI's taxonomy places the organism in Eukaryota, Viridiplantae, Streptophyta, Magnoliopsida, Poales, Poaceae.